AUGACCAGCUCCCCGAGCCCCUCCUUUCUGCUGCAGCCGCGGCAUUUCCCUCCGUGGCCACACGAGGGCACCCUUGGCCCUUUUAUCAAACGCCUUCACCUCCCCGUGGGAAUGGAGACAAUUGUGUCCAUGGUGUUUUCUGGAAGCACCCAGUUGCUACCCAGAUUUGUAUUUUUCUGUGAGGGUUCUGUGUGGUGUAGAUGCUGUGGGUUAGCCAGGCCUUGCUUCUCACAAGGGGCGUUUCUGGGUAGAACGUGGAUCUUACUCACCCUGGGGUCUGUGUGGGCUCGAGGAGAAUCCCAUCUCCCCUUAUGUUUCCGGUACAGGAUCAGAUGUGGCCGCCCAGCAGCUGCGCACGCUGGGAGGAGGAGGGUCCAGGUGGGAAAAGGGAGCGAGACGCAGGAAAGAGCACAGGCUUCAACGUUCAGACCUGGGUUCCCGCCAGUUCCAUUCCUUGCACGGGGAAUCCCUGACAUCCUCGUCCAUCUCCUGUGCCUUUCCGCUGGGUCAGCCUUCUCCCGCCACGCUUCUAACCCGCUGCCACCGGCAGCUCCGCUCUAGCUGCAGGGCCUGACUGGGCUCUGGUUUCUCAGAAGAGCUCAGAGGACCUGGCUCCUCCCUCUUUGCUUCUGAACUGCAUUUCUUUCCUUAUUACUCAGUGUCCACACCCACGGUGGCUGCCUGGAUAAAAAUCUGCCCCUUUCUCCCGUCACCUUUCAUGCCAGACAAAAGCCCCAGUAAGUAAUGGCGACCUACCCAGGCCCGGCUAGCAGCUCUCCAUUCCUGAGGGGCCUGGGGCAGAACGGGGUCGUGUGAGCUCCUGGACCCCAAGUCUGAUUCCCUUUCCCUGUCUUCCCACUCAUCUGCUAAGCUUGUUGAUUGGGUGCCACUGAGCAAAGUGAAUGAUUGUUCUUGCCUGGAACUAGGAGGGGUGGAGUUCCCUCUCCAUCUUCACCCCCUUCUGGGAGGCUUUCAGGGACUCACCACCCCACACUUGAUGCCUGGCCCAGACAGCCAAAGAAGAGGACCAGGCCGCUUCUCAACCCAGCUGACGCUUGGCAGCUUUGUGACCUCGGAUACACCUUCUCUUGGGAGGCCAGACCCCGUGAUCCUAACUCUUCAGCUAUGACAUCAUGUGAGGCUACAAUUUUUUUUUUUUUUUUUUAAGAGACAGUAUCUUGCUAUGUUGCCCGGGUUGGUUUUGAAAUCCUGGGCUCAGGCGAUUCUCCUGUCUCAGCCUCCCAAGUAGCUGGAACUUAGGGCGUGAGCCACCGCACCCACCUUCUGGAAAGGACAUGAAUAAGGAAGUGGAACUUGAUUGGACCUGUUCUGUGAGUUCAGGAGAGGUCCGCUGACAACUCACUUGGGGUGGGGAAAGGAGGUAAAGAGUCCUGUGGAAACCUCUGGCUGUGGGGACCCCAGUUCACUGAUGAUUGAAUGGGUCUACCUCUGUCAAAGGAGUUCAGAGUCCCGCUCAUCAUUCAGACUGGGGGAAUCAGGCUCAGCUGACUGGCCCAGCCUUAAAUCCACUGAAUUUCUUUUUAUCUCUACAUAGAAAAACAGGAUUACAGUCGCUUCUCAGUGUCCAGUGAGGAUUGGUUCCUGGAGCCCCCCGAAUACCCGUCCAGGGGUGAUGCUCUAACCUACACGCAUCCUCCCUUAUAUCCUCUAACUCAUCUCUGCGCUCCUCAAAUACCUCAUACCAUGUAAAUGCUGUGUAAACACUUCUUGUGCUGUGUUGGUUUUUAAAUUUGUAUUAUUUUUUCUUGUGUUUUUAAAAUAUUUUUCUUUUCCUGAAUAUUUUUGAUCCACGGUUAGUUGCCUCCAUGGGUGCAGAACCCACAGACACGGAGGCUGCCUCUACUCAGAUGAGCACGGCGGCGCCCUCUGGGUCCUCGUGUGGUCCUGUCUCUGGUGCUGCGUCCGCACGGCGGUGAACAGCAAAACUCAUCUUUUGCAAAUUAUCACUGUGGAGCGGAGUUCCGCUCUGUGACCUUUCGUCCCACUCUGGCUUACCAGAGGUCCCCUGGCCGUGGCCACAGCAUACCUAGCCUAGUGCUUGGCACCUCAGGCACACAAUAAAUCUUUAUGAAAUGGAUCUUCUCUGGUAUGUCUUGAGUGUACUAGUCUUCUGUUGCUUCCUCUUCGUCCUGCAGCCAGCUUCCUCCCAUGGGUCUCGUUUUAAUGAUGGCAUGUGAAAAGCUUCUCAGCUGCUUGCAAACGACGAGACGUCAGGCUUGAAGGGUUGGGACACCUUCUGGGACCUACUGUGAACACCUGUACUUUUGGCUUCACGCCCUUUCCCCCAUCUCAUGACUCAGGCUUUGGAGGGGUCGGCACUGAUUUUAGUAGCUCUGGGAGUUGAUACUUUGUUGGGUGAGUGGUGGGGGGAUAAGAAGACAGUUUCACUAAGGGGAUGUCUCUGGCUCAGCAUAUUAAAAAAUUGGGGAAUUGGU
RNA transcript from Cercocebus atys (sooty mangabey), 2456 nucleotides. RefSeq lists it as uncharacterized. The transcript has 4 exons. The record is from RefSeq and is a predicted model, not a curated record. Lineage: Eukaryota; Metazoa; Chordata; Mammalia; Primates; Cercopithecidae.